GACGAACGCUGGCGGCGUGCUUAACACAUGCAAGUCGAACGGAAAGGCCCUGCUUUUGUGGGGUGCUCGAGUGGCGAACGGGUGAGUAACACGUGAGUAACCUGCCCUUGACUUUGGGAUAACUUCAGGAAACUGGGGCUAAUACCGGAUAGGAGCUCCUGCUGCAUGGUGGGGGUUGGAAAGUUUCGGCGGUUGGGGAUGGACUCGCGGCUUAUCAGCUUGUUGGUGGGGUAGUGGCAUACCAAGGCUUUGACGGGUAGCCGGCCUGAGAGGGUGACCGGCCACAUUGGGACUGAGAUACGGCCCAGACUGCUACGGGAGGCAGCAGUGGGGAAUAUUGCACAAUGGGCGGAAGCCUGAUGCAGCAACGCCGCGUGCGGGAUGACGGCCUUCGGGUUGUAAACCGCUUUCGCCUGUGACGAAGCGUGAGUGACGGUAAUGGGUAAAGAAGCACCGGCUAACUACGUG
RNAcentral lists this ribosomal RNA (468 nucleotides) under uncultured bacterium. RNAcentral describes it as "partial 16S ribosomal RNA". It matches the Rfam family "Bacterial small subunit ribosomal RNA", at positions 28 to 507 of the family's 1533-position model. The record is from RNAcentral.